AACGAACGCUGGCGGCAGGCCUAACACAUGCAAGUCGAGCGCCCCGCAAGGGGAGCGGCGGACGGGUGAGUAACGCGUGGGAAUAUGCCCUUUGCUACGGAAUAGUCUCGGGAAACUGGGGGUAAUACCGUAUACGCCCUUUGGGGGAAAGAUUUAUCGGCGAAGGAUUAGCCCGCGUUGGAUUAGGUAGUUGGUGGGGUAAUGGCCUACCAAGCCGACGAUCCAUAGCUGGUUUGAGAGGAUGAUCAGCCACACUGGGACUGAGACACGGCCCAGACUCCUACGGGAGGCAGCAGUGGGGAAUCUUAGAAAAUGGGGGCAACCCUGAUCUAGCCAUGCCGCGUGAGUGAUGAAGGCCUUAGGGUUGUAAAGCUCUUUCAGCUGGGAAGAUAAUGACGGUACCAGCAGAAGAAGCCCCGGCUAACUACGUG
Molecule: ribosomal RNA, 431 nt
Filed under: uncultured bacterium
Lineage: Bacteria
Description: partial 16S ribosomal RNA
Rfam family: Bacterial small subunit ribosomal RNA
Source: RNAcentral